AAGACAAUGGAAGUGGGGGUGCUAAAUCGGAGUUGGAUAAAUACAUUAGUGAAGAACAAGAGCCUUUUAGUGAAUAAUUUGAUAUCUUGAGUUGGUGGAAAACACAUGCACCUAGAUUUCCUAUUCUUUCAGAGUUGGCUCGUGAUGUGUUGACAAUUCCAAUUUCUAGUGUGGCGUCGGAAUGCACGUUUAGCACUGGUAGCCGUAUUCUUGAUUCAUUUAGGAGUUCAUUGACUACUAAAUGUGUGCAAGCUCUUAUUUGUGUUCAAGAUUGGAUUAGAGAAGAGAAGAAUCCUAUUAGUGUUGAAGAAGACUUGAAGUAUCUUGAGGAACUCGAGCUUGGUUCAAGUUCAAGUGCAAUCAUGCCCCGUGCUACUACUCAACGCUCUGAUAUUUGGGAAUACUUUGUGGUGAAAGAAGAUAACGGAGAAGUUCGCAAGUUUGUUGUCUGCAGACUGCAGUUUGGACUGCAGUUUAGCAUCUGCAGACUGCAGUUGUGCAAGUUAGCAUCUGCAGUUUAACUGUUUAACAAUUUUAAGUGUUCAGCUGCCAUGUGUUUAAGUUUGGACUCUGUUUUUAACUUUUUACUGCACUAUCAGUGUUAAGUGUUAACUAUUAAGUUGAUUGCCAGAUCUGGCGUGCAAGUUUGCAUCUGCAGUUGCCAGAUUGUGAAAUUGUUGUCUGCAGAAUGAUAUGCUAUCCUUGUUUCAGGCUUUCAGCCAUGAGCCAUGUGCAGUUGUGCAUAUUGUGCAAAGUGCAAACACUUUAGAAUUUCGAUUGGGCAAACACUGCAUUUGUUGGACUGUUUUUAUUGCACCGGGUUAAUGUGUUUAGCAUCUGUAGACUGCAGUUGUGCAAGUUAGCAUCUGCAGUUUAACUGUUUAACAGUUUAAGUGUUCAGCUGCCAUGUGUUUAAGUUUGGACUGUGUUUUUAUUGCACUGUGAGUGUUAAGUGUUAACUAUUAAGUUGAUUGCCAGAUCUGGCGUGCAAGUUUGCAUCUGCAGUUGCCAGAUUGUGAAGUUGUUGUCUGCAGAAUAAUAUGUUAUUCUUGUUUCA
Nicotiana tabacum (common tobacco) is the source of this 1057-nucleotide non-coding RNA. The record is from RefSeq and is a predicted model, not a curated record. Lineage: Eukaryota; Viridiplantae; Streptophyta; Magnoliopsida; Solanales; Solanaceae.